This 468-nucleotide ribosomal RNA is filed under the name uncultured bacterium. Its description in RNAcentral is "partial 16S ribosomal RNA". It matches the Rfam family "Bacterial small subunit ribosomal RNA", at positions 28 to 507 of the family's 1533-position model. The record is from RNAcentral.
GACGAACGCUGGCGGCGUGCUUAACACAUGCAAGUCGAACGGAAAGGCCCUGCUUUUGUGGGGUGCUCGAGUGGCGAACGGGUGAGUAACACGUGAGUAACCUGCCCUUGACUUUGGGAUAACUUCAGGAAACUGGGGCUAAUACCGGAUAGGAGCUCCUGCUGCAUGGUGGGGGUUGGAAAGUUUCGGCGGUUGGGGAUGGACUGGCGGGUUAUCAGCUUGUUGGUGGGGUAGUGGCUUACCAAGGCUUUGACGGGUAGCCGGCCUGAGAGGGUGACCGGCCACAUUGGGACUAAGGUACGGCCCAGACUGCUACGGGGGGCAGCAGGGGGGAAUAUUGCACAAUGGGCGGAAGCCUGAUGCAGAGACGCCGCGUGCGGGAUGACGGCCUUCGGGUUGUAAACCGCUUUCGCCUGUGACGAAGCGUGAGUGACGGUAAUGGGUAAAGAAGCACCGGCUAACUACGUG